UCUUCUACUUUUCUGAAGUAGAACUGACACCACCACCACACCAUCCCCCAAAAUAAGCCAACUGUGGGAUUCUGGAGAAAAAUUACUUGGCGUGCAAAGUAAACCAGUAAGGCUGUGAUGCAGGGAAAGUCCCUGUACCAUGUUUACAGAGGAACUCUGUGAGGAUGACUGUGGUGUCAAUGCACUAGGCCUGUGGAUGUCUGUGCCAUGGAAGAACAUCCAGCUUUAGUCCUUAGAAGAAAGAAACUUGAAACCUGCCACAGAAAUGGAUCAUAUUCCUCAAGUCUCACUCCUUGGGCUAGAAGAGAUCUUUAAGAGGUCUUUUAGGAACCUCUCUGACUCAAGAACUGAUGUGCCUAAGGGGAAGUCUAACAGAGGAGACACUUUGCCAUUUGGGAAAUUCUCACUUUCCUACAUAGUUGGGAUAUGGUCUUCUGCUCUCUUUCUCUGGGUUUAAUUGAGGGGCAAGGCAAUGUCUAUGAAAAGAGCUAUCAACCAGAUGUAUCCCCUCCAAAAUUCAGAUGUUGAAACUUAAUGGCCAAUGUGAUGGUAUUAAGAGGUAGGGUUUUUAAGAAGUAACUAAAUUAUGAAGUCUUCUCCCCUGAUCAUGAAUGAGAUUAAGGCCCUUAUAAAAGAGGACACAGUGUUCAAGGCACCAUCUUGGAGGCAGAGACUGAAUCCUUGCAACAAACCUUUCAGCUCCCUGAUCCUGGACUUCCCAGCCUCCAGAACUAUGAGCAAUAAAUUUGUGUUCGUUAUAAAUUACACAUACCAGGUAUUUUGUUAUAGCAGCACAGACAGACUAAGGCAGAUGUCUUCAGCUCUCCUCUUUUGGAUUGAGUUGCAAGGCAAUCUUGAUGAACAGAACCCAAGCUUUGGAGCCAGACAACCUUAAGUGAGAUCUUCACUUUUGAGCA
Molecule: long non-coding RNA, 917 nt
Organism: Cebus imitator (Panamanian white-faced capuchin)
Lineage: Eukaryota; Metazoa; Chordata; Mammalia; Primates; Cebidae
Exons: 3
Source: RefSeq, a predicted model, not a curated record